RNAcentral lists this unclassified non-coding RNA (391 nucleotides) under soil metagenome. RNAcentral describes it as "partial contains 5.8S ribosomal RNA, internal transcribed spacer 2, and large subunit ribosomal RNA". The stretch from base 1 to 122 matches the Rfam family "5.8S ribosomal RNA", at positions 35 to 154 of the family's 154-position model. The record is from RNAcentral.
GAUGAAGAACGCAGCGAAAUGCGAUACUUGGUGUGAAUUGCAGAAUCCCGUGAACCAUCGAGUCUUUGAACGCAAGUUGCGCCCGAAGCCAUUAGGCCGAGGGCACGCCUGCCUGGGCGUCACACGUCGUUGCCCCCCCAUCUACUCCUUCGGGAUUGCGAGGGGCGGAUGAUGGCCUCCCGUGCGCCUCGUCGCGCGGUUGGCAUAAAUGCCAAGUCCUCGGCGACGCGCGCCACGACAAUCGGUGGUUGCGAAACCUCGGUUGCCCGUCGUGUGCGGUCGUCGCGCAUCGAGGGCUCGAAAAAAUUGCCGGGCUCCGGCUCGGCUUUCAACGCGACCCCAGGUCAGGCGGGGUUACCCGCUGAAUUUAAGCAUAUCAAUAAGCGGAGGA